This 534-nucleotide ribosomal RNA is filed under the name Pseudomonas sp. RNAcentral describes it as "bacterial SSU rRNA". It matches the Rfam family "Bacterial small subunit ribosomal RNA", at positions 161 to 688 of the family's 1533-position model. Lineage: Bacteria; Pseudomonadati; Pseudomonadota; Gammaproteobacteria; Pseudomonadales; Pseudomonadaceae. The record is from RNAcentral.
CGCUAAUACCGCAUACGUCCUACGGGAGAAAGCAGGGGACCUUCGGGCCUUGCGCUAUCAGAUGAGCCUAGGUCGGAUUAGCUAGUUGGUGAGGUAAAGGCUCACCAAGGCGACGAUCCGUAACUGGUCUGAGAGGAUGAUCAGUCACACUGGAACUGAGACACGGUCCAGACUCCUACGGGAGGCAGCAGUGGGGAAUAUUGGACAAUGGGCGAAAGCCUGAUCCAGCCAUGCCGCGUGUGUGAAGAAGGUCUUCGGAUUGUAAAGCACUUUAAGUUGGGAGGAAGGUGUAUUAAGUUAAUACCUUGCUGUUUUGAUGUUAGCGACAGAAUAAGCACCGGCUAACUUCGUGCCAGCAGCCGCGGUAAUACGAAGGGUGCAAGCGUUAAUCGGAAUUACUGGGCGUAAAGCGCGCGUAGGUGGUUCAGCAAGUUGGAUGUGAAAGCCCCGGGCUCAACCUGGGGAACUGCAUCCAAAACUACUGAGCUAGAGUACGGUAGAGGGUGGUGGAAUUUCCUGUGUAGCGGUGAAAUG